GUGCCAGCAGCCGCGGUAAUACGUAGGGUGCGAGCGUUAAUCGGAAUUACUGGGCGUAAAGCGUGCGUAGGCGGUUUUUCAAGCUUGAUGUGAAAGCCCCGGGCUUAACCUGGGAAUGGCAUUGAGGACUGAGAGGCUAGAGUGCGGCAGAGGGAGGUGGAAUUCCACGUGUAGCAGUGAAAUGCGUAGAGAUGUGGAGGAACACCGAUGGCGAAGGCAGCCUCCUGGGCCGACACUGACGCUGAGGGCACGAAAGCGUGGGGAGCAAACAGGAUUAGAUACCCCGGUAGUCC
This 293-nucleotide ribosomal RNA is filed under the name uncultured bacterium. RNAcentral describes it as "partial 16S ribosomal RNA". It matches the Rfam family "Bacterial small subunit ribosomal RNA", at positions 505 to 796 of the family's 1533-position model. The record is from RNAcentral.